UACGAAGGGGGCUAGCGUUGCUCGGAAUCACUGGGCGUAAAGCGCACGUAGGCGGCUUCUUAAGUCAGGGGUGAAAUCCUGGAGCUCAACUCCAGAACUGCCUCUGAUACUGAGGAGCUCGAGUCCGGGAGAGGUGAGUGGAACUCCGAGUGUAGAGGUGAAAUUCGUAGAUAUUCGGAAGAACACCAGUGGCGAAGGCGGCUCACUGGCCCGGUACUGACGCUGAGGAGCGAAAGCGUGGGGAGCAAACAGG
This 253-nucleotide ribosomal RNA is filed under the name uncultured bacterium. RNAcentral's name for it is "partial 16S ribosomal RNA". It matches the Rfam family "Bacterial small subunit ribosomal RNA", at positions 524 to 776 of the family's 1533-position model. The record is from RNAcentral.